This 433-nucleotide ribosomal RNA is filed under the name uncultured bacterium. RNAcentral's name for it is "partial 16S ribosomal RNA". It matches the Rfam family "Bacterial small subunit ribosomal RNA", at positions 29 to 507 of the family's 1533-position model. The record is from RNAcentral.
AACGAACGCUGGCGGCAUGCCUAACACAUGCAAGUCGAACGAGACCUUCGGGUCUAGUGGCGCACGGGUGCGUAACGCGUGGGAACCUGCCCUUAGGUUCGGAAUAACUCCCCGAAAGGGGUGCUAAUACCGGAUAAUGUCUUCGGACCAAAGAUUUAUCGCCUUUGGAUGGGCCCGCGUUGGAUUAGCUAGUUGGUAGGGUAAAAGCCUACCAAGGCGACGAUCCAUAGCUGGUCUGAGAGGAUGAUCAGCCACACUGGGACUGAGACACGGCCCAGACUGCUACGGGAGGGAGCAGUGGGGAAUAUUGGACAAGGGGCGAAAGUCUGAUCCAGCAAUGCCGCGUGAGUGAUGAAGGCCUUAGGGUUGUAAAGCUCUUUUACCCGGGAUGAGAAUGACAGUACCGGGAGAAUAAGCUCCGGCUAACUCCGUG